UGGAGAUGCGGGGGGAGCGAACCCUGGGCCUUUCACAUGCAACGCGAACGCUCUACCACUGAGCUACACCUCC
Non-coding RNA from Araneus ventricosus, 73 nucleotides. Lineage: Eukaryota; Metazoa; Arthropoda; Arachnida; Araneae; Araneidae. The record is from the annotation of a GenBank genome assembly.